AGGGCGGGCGGAGCGCGGCGGGUGGGCGAGCCGGAGCGGGUGCCCCGCGCUGCGACCGCGGGUGCCCAAAGCUGUCCUGUGCUUCCCCUGACACCUCUGCCUACCCUGGCCGUCCGCCGCGCCUCCUCUCCCGGCUUCUGCCGCGUUCCCUUACAGUCUUCCACACUCCUCUUCCACACUCCCCUCCCACUCUCUCCUCCUCCCUCCUCCGCACCGCUCCACUCCCCCCGGGCUGUCUCCUUCCCCUAGUGCUCUCCCCUCCCUCCAGAGCCGCGAUUUGAAUCUGGUGCUCUCCCGCUUCCUCUCUUACCCCCCCGCCCGCGCAUGCGGCGCUGCCGCCGGGGCGCGCCAGGACCCGGCCCGCGGCCCGGCCAGGGGCGGGCGGUCCCCGCGGCCCGGGAGGGCGGCGGAGGGGUCCGGCCAUCGCCAGGCCCCGAGGGGCCGCCUGGGGGAAGGGGAGCAAGGCCGGGACUUCCGUUCUUCCCGCCCUGCUUGCCAGGAGCCGGUGUGGGGCCGAGAGGGCAGCCCGGCCCCGGCCUCUUCCCCCUGAGUGCGGUUCAGCGGAAUUCCUCGUUUUCGACGCCGGGAGGCUGUGAAACGAAGUCUGUGGCUUUCCUGGAUCCGUGGAAGCAUGGGGGGAAGCUGAGCAGGAGCUUCGAGGACAAAAUAAUGUCGGUCCGCAGAUUUCACCCCUUCCCUGGGGCAUCUGUAAUGCCUCACACGUGGGCAUUACAGAUGUCCGUUUCUUUGUUGCCUUUGGUACCAUCAAUAAAUAUCGCUAUGUCCCUGUCUGUGUAUUUGGGAGGGAGGGGGAAACACUGGAUAGUGAUUUUCCAUAAGAUGCUCAAAACAUCUUCCAGGCUGAAGCUCCCUUGAAGCUUACCCUCUUUGUGAAGCCUUCCCCAGGAGCCGCUUACAGCCACGCACAAGCCCUUGCCCCUCCGUGUUCGAAUGGGGCUGGAAAUGGGGUUAAAUGGGUCAGGGAGCCAUACAGUGAUGAUGCGUUAUGCACGCUGGCAGAGUGCUCCUGGUAUGGAGAGGGUUCAUCUUACAAACAUUAUUUUUGUAAGGGUAACUUGUUUUCUUUCUCCUUCAGCCCCAACAACAGGAAGUAAACACUCAAAAACUGGAGUAGUUCAUAUCAAUUGCAUCAACAGUAAGAGAUUUGGGGUGUAUGUUACUCAGUUGGAGUACACAGACCAAAAGGCUGAGAUAAGCCCGUGCAGACAUAGUUGAAAUGGGAAGAGGGGGAAUGGAGGAGAAUAGGAAAGACAAAGGAGAGAGGUAGAAAAUAUGCAAGAGUGUAUGAGAAAACAAAAAGGAGAGCACAUAUACGGCAGAGGAACAUGCAUUGCUUAGAAGAUAUACAGAGAUAGGUAUAUAAAACUAAAUCAGGCCCAAUGGAUGCUCCUGUGAUAUUGCCCCCAGGAAAUCACAUGGUCCUUAAGCAGUCCUUCCUACUAAUGUAUAUGGUAAUCAAUAAAAAUACAUCUGCAAGAGGUUCCUAGCA
Molecule: long non-coding RNA, 1510 nt
Filed under: Chloebia gouldiae (Gouldian finch)
Lineage: Eukaryota; Metazoa; Chordata; Aves; Passeriformes; Passeridae
Description: Erythrura gouldiae (Gouldian finch) lncRNA (ENSEGOG00005003308.1)
Source: RNAcentral